UACAGAGGGUGCGAGCGUUAAUCGGCAUUCCUGGGCGUAAAGCGCACGUAGUCGGCUUUGCAAGUCGGGUGUGAAAUCCCCGGGCUCAACCUGGGAACUGCAUCCGAGACUGCAUUGCUAGAGUAUGGGAGAGGGAAGCGGAAUUUCUGGUGUAGCAGUGAAAUGCGUAGAUAUCGGGAGGAACAUCAGUGGCGAAGGCGGCUACCUGGCCCAAUACUGACACUCAGGUGCGACAGCGUGGGGAGCAAACAGG
RNAcentral lists this ribosomal RNA (253 nucleotides) under uncultured bacterium. RNAcentral describes it as "partial 16S ribosomal RNA". It matches the Rfam family "Bacterial small subunit ribosomal RNA", at positions 524 to 776 of the family's 1533-position model. The record is from RNAcentral.